Molecule: ribosomal RNA, 407 nt
Filed under: uncultured bacterium
Lineage: Bacteria
Description: bacterial SSU rRNA
Rfam family: Bacterial small subunit ribosomal RNA
Source: RNAcentral
UGGGGAAUCUUCCGCAAUGGGCGAAAGCCUGACGGAGCAACGCCGCGUGGGUGAAGAAGGCCUUCGGGUUGUAAAGCCCUGUCUUAUGGGAAGAAGAAAGUGACGGUACCAUAGGAGGAAGCCACGGCUAACUACGUGCCAGCAGCCGCGGUAAUACGUAGGUGGCGAGCGUUGUCCGGAAUUACUGGGCGUAAAGGGCGCGUAGGCGGUCAUUUAAGUCGGGUGUGAAAUCUUGGGGCUUAACCUCAAGUUUGCAAACGAUACUGGGUGGCUUGAGUGCAGGAGAGGGCAGUGGAAUUCCUAGUGUAGCGGUGAAAUGCGUAGAUAUUAGGAGGAACACCAGUGGCGAAGGCGGCUGCCUGGACUGUAACUGACGCUGAGGCGCGAAAGCGUGGGGAGCAAACAGG